Molecule: unclassified non-coding RNA, 240 nt
Filed under: soil metagenome
Description: partial contains 5.8S ribosomal RNA, internal transcribed spacer 2, and large subunit ribosomal RNA
Source: RNAcentral
AACCUAGCACACCUGCGGUGUGUACCUGCGGAAGGAUCAUUACAGAGUUGCAAAACUCCCCAAACCAUUGUGAACCUUACCUUCAAACGUUGCUUCGGCGGGCGGGCCACAGCGCCCCCCGGGCCCCCCCAGCGGGGGCGCCCGCCGGAGGAUACCCAAACUCUUGAUACUUUAUGGCCUCUCUGAGUCUUCUGUACUGAAUAAGUCAAAACUUUUAACAACGGAUCUCAGAUCGGAAGA